AUGAAGAGUCAGAAUUGACUGAAAAUGACUAAACAGACAUGGACUCAGUCUCAUCAUUUGUACAAAUGAGUUGGACAAGGCAGUGGCAUGGUACUGUGGAAGAAACACUGGCCCUGGAAUCUGAGAAUCUGGGUUCAAGAUCCUGCCUCUAACACUUACUACCUGUUGGUGACUAAGGAUGUGGAACAAUACAUAUCAGACUUUUUCAUUGUACCUGGUGGUUUGGCUGAAUUGUUUUUGUUUUGCUUUGUUUUUCUCUUCUUUUUAAAGUUACUUUCUUAUAAGGGAAUGGGGAAGGAUAUAUUGGCAAAUGUCAGUGACAUAAAAAAGUAAAUGAGAUCAAAUUUAAAAAUUUUUUUUAAGUACAGUUAUCCCUUCCACAUCAUGGCUUUUCCCAUGGUGGUUUCAAUAUAUCUCAGGCUGGCAUAAGCAAUUAAAUGGCAGUUUUGGUGGGGGGGGUUUGCAGAAGCUGCAGACAACACAGAAAAGGUUUAGAAACUCAGAAAUGCAUAAAAUAUAUUAUAGUAUUGUAAAAUAUUAACACAUUUUAUCUUUCAAUACCAUAAUAAUUCAGGCUUCUUCUCUGGUAUGAAGGGAGGGCCAAAAUUUUUUGCAUGGAUUUUCCAGAUCAUUGGGGCCCACACCCUUAACCCUCAAAAUGUGGAAGAGAUAACUAGAGUUUUUCUGCCUUCUCUCCGUUACUGGAAAUGGAGCCUUUCCUGAUCCCCACUCCCCCAGCUGUUAGGGAUUUCCCUCAUCUCUGAAAUGACUUUGUAUGCAUUUUGUGGGAAUCUAUAUCCACUAGUAGAAUAUAAACUUCUUGAAGGCAGGAAUUGUUUUGUUUUUCUCUUUAUAUUGCUCUCUCCUAGUACACUGCCUGGCAUACAACAGGAACUUAAUAAAUAUUUAUUGAAUGAAUGAAUGAAUGAAUGCAUUCAUACCAGACUAAUCUCAUUUCCCUUUUUAUGACAGGUUACUAGUCUAGUAGAUAAAGAAAAUAUUGUAGACACUACAUACUUGGACUUUGGCAGGGCAUUUUUCUUAAAGGGAUAAUUGAGAUUUGACCUAUUUACAUUUGUAAAUAUAAAGCCCAUAGAAGAGUAGAAUAUAUUGAGAAAAAAAAAAAACAAAGUGAGGCUGAAUGGUAAAGAAUUGAGGGAGGUCAUGGGAGAGACAAAACUUGGCAGAAGGGAUCGAUUCAGGGUGAUUCAAUAAAUACUCAAUUAUCUAAA
Molecule: long non-coding RNA, 1232 nt
Organism: Phascolarctos cinereus (koala)
Lineage: Eukaryota; Metazoa; Chordata; Mammalia; Diprotodontia; Phascolarctidae
Source: RefSeq, a predicted model, not a curated record